GGCAGCAGGGAUAACUUGCAGGUCUGGCAGCAGGGAUAACUUGCAGGUCUUGCAGCAGGGAUAACUUGCAGGUCUGGCAGCAGGGAUAACUUGCAGGUCUGGCAGCAGGGAUAACUUGUAGGUCUGGCAGUAGGGAUAACUUGCAGGUCUGGCAGUAGGGAUAACUUGCAGGUCUGGCAGCAGGGAUAACUUGCAGGUCUGGCAGUAGGGAUAACUUGCAGGUCUGGCAGUAGGGAUAACUUGCAGGUCUGGCAGCAGGGAUAACUUGCAGGUCUGGCAGUAGGGAUAACUUGCAGGUCUGGCAGCAGGGAUAACUUGCAGGUCUGGCAGCAGGGAUAACUUGCAGGUCUGGCAGCAGGGAUAACUUG
Non-coding RNA from Cherax quadricarinatus, 368 nucleotides. The record is from RefSeq and is a predicted model, not a curated record. NCBI's taxonomy places the organism in Eukaryota, Metazoa, Arthropoda, Malacostraca, Decapoda, Parastacidae.